Molecule: ribosomal RNA, 351 nt
Filed under: Triticum aestivum (bread wheat)
Lineage: Eukaryota; Viridiplantae; Streptophyta; Magnoliopsida; Poales; Poaceae
Description: partial small subunit ribosomal RNA
Source: RNAcentral
AUGUCUGUGACGGGGCAAGAGUGGCACGACGACGGCCACUACGAGGUGCUCCGCCUCCCCUUCGGCGAGGAAGGCAUGGCGCUGAGCGUCGAGCGGAUCGAGAAGGCCUACAAGACGCAAUUGCGGCUCCGGCACUCUAACAAGCGCCCCGGCGACCCCAACGCCACGACCGACUUCCAGAGCCUCGCCAGCUCAUACAAGUUCCUCCGGGACGAGUCCCUCCACUGCCAGUUCGACGCUCGUUUCCGCGGCCGCCGCAAGACCGCCGCCCGCGCCGCGGCCUUAGGGGUCAAGCGGCAGAAGGUCUCACCGACGAGGAGGCUCCCAACAAAGCUUGGCGACUCCCUGUAG